GUGUCGUGAUUUUCAUUUGUUUACUCCGAAACCAGUUCAACACGUGUGUAUUUUACUCAUUUUACUCUGCAAAAUAAAAUCGCUCCCCUUGGACACAGGAUGGAGGAUGCAACUCGUCUAGAGAAUAUUAUCUGGUGGUUGAACCGAUCAAAGUCGUUCAAGGACUGGGCGAUGAAAUCAAUCCGGACCAAUUUGCAUGCAUUCACGCAUAUUCAAAGAGGAAAAUGCAUCCAAAACAAAUUGUCGCCAGAGCUGAGGGAUGAACUGCUGCAGGAGCUGCAGAGGAGCACACGUCGUGAAGAAAUCAAAACUGAAGAGGGAUUUAGUCAGCAUGACGCACACUGCGUUGGUGUUGAUGAGCACCGCGACAAAAAAACUUGAUUUGCAUCAUCUCAUGUCAUUUGAACGUUGCAAUGUUGAUUCUCCACUCGAAUUCAUCGAGGUUCUCAGGGUGGUCACAAUUUCUGCUCCAAACGUCCGGCAGCUGAUAGUAGCCUUUGAUGACCUCGCAGAUUGUUUGAACAAUGCUGGUUUCAUCCGAAAUACGUUCAUAGAUCAUUUGAGCGCUCUGAAGGAGUUGAGAAUCUUGAAGGUGGUUGGAUGCGAUGGCACUUCUGUGGAUAUUGCGCUGCUCUACGAAAAACUUCCCAACUUGCUUGUCGUUAGCGCACCUUAUGUCCAAUUUGAGGACGCCAAAUUGUCUGAGUUGGACAUCGGAAAUUCUGCUAUUUGGUUAUUCAUGCAGCCUUCAUGAUCUUGAGGUUCUUUGCAGCCUCUUCACUUGGGAACUGAGCAGGUUUACAAUAUAACCUUUUUUCAACGAAAUUGCUCCAGUUGUAAAUAUUGAGUCAUUAUCAAAUUAAAGCCUUUACUCGCGCAUAUAGCUAAUAGAGUUUUAUGAGCAUCGCGAAUUCAAAGCAGUACGAAUUGUCAAGAAACGAUUUUUUCAAUGGUAGUAAUUGUCCAGACGGCUUAAUUCAAAUUGUACUCUUUUGUGGCUUCUCUAUUCUGGUGUGUAUUACUUGUAAGGGUUUAUUUUGGCAUGAAUAAAUCAAAUUACUUGGAAUUUCA
This is a long non-coding RNA of Cloeon dipterum, 1071 nucleotides long. RefSeq lists it as uncharacterized. Lineage: Eukaryota; Metazoa; Arthropoda; Insecta; Ephemeroptera; Baetidae. The transcript is spliced from 3 exons. The record is from RefSeq and is a predicted model, not a curated record.